AUUAAACCCAAUCACAGCACAAUCCACUCUUCUUUAACCUGAGGUAUCUCAAUUCUAAAAGGGUCAUUACUUAUAUCGGAUGCAUUACGGAUGAGGCUAUUAUUCACGGGUAUACAGGAAUGAAGAAAAGGGUAUACAGGCUUCUCUUUGUAAAUAAACAUAAAAAAAUAUUCAUGGUGAAUAUUUUACUAGGAGGUGCUAUCCUUCAGUUUGAUUUCAACUAUGUGUACACCUGGAAACUUCAAACUGAGUAAAAUGUAUAAGCUUUGCAAUGUAACGACUAGAGUACAAUAUUUAAAUGUAUCUGGUUUUGCCUGCACUGACAACGACAAGAUGAAAAUGAUCAGAUUAUCCACUGGUUUAUGGCAAUACUUUACACACAAGAAAGCUCUGAAGGACCACAUUGUUACUUGGUAACUUGUUAUUGAGCCUCAUCAUUUUAUAUAAUAAUAGUUAUAACAACAUUAUUUACUAUAAUUAGAUAUUGAAUAUGAUAUUAUUAAAACAGUAUUUACCAGGUGUGUUUGUUGAUAUAGCAUUUAUACAGGUUGGGAUGGAUGGAUGGCUUGAUGGAUGAUAAAUGGACAGAUGGAAGGAGGGAUGGACAGCCAAAAAGGCAAAUAAAUGGAAGGAUGGAAAGGUUGAAUAAAUGGACCAAUAUAUAGAUGGGUAGACAGACAGAUGGAUAAAUGAAAUUUAUGAAAA
Pelobates cultripes (western spadefoot toad) is the source of this 705-nucleotide non-coding RNA. The record is from the annotation of a GenBank genome assembly. Lineage: Eukaryota; Metazoa; Chordata; Amphibia; Anura; Pelobatidae.